UACGGAGGGGGCUAGCGUUGUUCGGAAUUACUGGGCGUAAAGCGCACGUAGGCGGAUCAGAAAGUUGGGGGUGAAAUCCCGGGGCUCAACCUCGGAACUGCCUUCAAAACUAUUGGUCUUGAGUUCGAGAGAGGUGAGUGGAAUUCCGAGUGUAGAGGUGAAAUUCGUAGAUAUUCGGAGGAACACCAGUGGCGAAGGCGGCUCACUGGCUCGAUACUGACGCUGAGGUGCGAAAGCGUGGGGAGCAAACAGG
RNAcentral lists this ribosomal RNA (253 nucleotides) under uncultured bacterium. RNAcentral describes it as "partial 16S ribosomal RNA". It matches the Rfam family "Bacterial small subunit ribosomal RNA", at positions 524 to 776 of the family's 1533-position model. The record is from RNAcentral.